RNAcentral lists this ribosomal RNA (490 nucleotides) under uncultured bacterium. RNAcentral's name for it is "partial 16S ribosomal RNA". It matches the Rfam family "Bacterial small subunit ribosomal RNA", at positions 30 to 507 of the family's 1533-position model. The record is from RNAcentral.
AUUGAACGCUGGCGGCAGGCCUAACACAUGCAAGUCGAACGGUAACAGGAAGCAGCUUGCUGCUUCGCUGACGAGUGGCGGACGGGUGAGUAAUGUCUGGGAAACUGCCUGAUGGAGGGGGAUAACUACUGGAAACGGUAGCUAAUACCGCAUAACGUCGCAAGACCAAAGAGGGGGACCUUAGGGCCUCUUGCCAUCGGAUGUGCCCAGAUGGGAUUAGCUAGUAGGUGGGGUAACGGCUCACCUAGGCGACGAUCCCUAGCUGGUCUGAGAGGAUGACCAGCCACACUGGAACUGAGACACGGUCCAGACUCCUACGGGAGGCAGCAGUGGGGAAUAUUGCACAAUGGGCGCAAGCCUGAUGCAGCCAUGCCGCGUGUAUGAAGAAGGCCUUCGGGUUGUAAAGUACUUUCAGCGGGGAGGAAGGGAGUAAAGUUAAUACCUUUGCUCAUUGACGUUACCCGCAGAAAAAGCGCCGGCUAACUCCGUG